Molecule: ribosomal RNA, 789 nt
Filed under: uncultured bacterium
Lineage: Bacteria
Description: bacterial SSU rRNA
Rfam family: Bacterial small subunit ribosomal RNA
Source: RNAcentral
AGAGUUUGAUCCUGGCUCAGGACGAACGCUGGCGGCGCGCUUAACACAUGCAAGUCGAACGGAAAGGCCCUUUCGGGGGUACUCGAGUGGCGAACGGGUGAGUAACACGUGGGUGAUCUGCCCUGCACUUUGGGAUAAGCCUGGGAAACUGGGUCUAAUACCGAAUACACCCUGCUGGUCGCAUGGCCUGGUGGGGGAAAGCUUUUGCGGUGUGGGAUGGGCCCGCGGCCUAUCAGCUUGUUGGUGGGGUGAUGGCCUACCAAGGCGACGACGGGUAGCCGGCCUGAGAGGGUGUCCGGCCACACUGGGACUGAGAUACGGCCCAGACUCCUACGGGAGGCAGCAGUGGGGAAUAUUGCACAAUGGGCGCAAGCCUGAUGCAGCGACGCCGCGUGGGGGAUGACGGCCUUCGGGUUGUAAACCUCUUUCACCAUCGGCGAAGCCCAUGAUUUUUGUUGUGGGUGACGGUAGGUGGAGAAGAAGCACCGGCCAACUACGUGCCAGCAGCCGCGGUAAUACGUAGGGUGCGAGCGUUGUCCGGAAUUACUGGGCGUAAAGAGCUCGUAGGUGGUUUGUCGCGUUGUCCGUGAAAUUCCCUGGCUUAACUGGGGGCGUGCGGGCGAUACGGGCAGACUAGAGUACUGCAGGGGAGACUGGAAUUCCUGGUGUAGCGGUGGAAUGCGCAGAUAUCAGGAGGAACACCGGUGGCGAAGGCGGGUCUCUGGGCAGUAACUGACGCUGAGGAGCGAAAGCGUGGGGAGCGAACAGGAUUAGAUACCCUGGUAGUCC